GGGCGCAAGCCUGAUCCAGCCAUGCCGCGUGUGUGAAGAAGGCCUUAUGGUUGUAAAGCACUUUAAGCGAGGAGGAGGCUACUUUAGUUAAUACCUAGAGAUAGUGGACGUUACUCGCAGAAUAUGCACCGGCUAACUCUGUGCCAGCAGCCGCGGUAAUACAGAGGGUGCAAGCGUUAAUCGGAUUUACUGGGCGUAAAGCGCGCGUAGGCGGCUAAUUAAGUCAAAUGUGAAAUCCCCGAGCUUAACUUGGGAAUUGCAUUCGAUACUGGUUAGCUAGAGUGUGGGAGAGGAUGGUAGAAUUCCAGGUGUAGCGGUGAAAUGCGUAGAGAUCUGGAGGAAUACCGAUGGCGAAGGCAGCCAUCUGGCCUAAUACUGACGCUGAGGUACGAAAGCAUGGGGAGCAAACAGGAUUAGAUACCCUGGUAGUCCAUGCCGUAAACGAUGUCUACUAGCCGUUGGGGCCUUUGAGGCUUUAGUGGCGCAGCUAACGCGAUAAGUAGACCGCCUGGGGAGU
This 517-nucleotide ribosomal RNA is filed under the name uncultured bacterium. RNAcentral describes it as "bacterial SSU rRNA". It matches the Rfam family "Bacterial small subunit ribosomal RNA", at positions 373 to 881 of the family's 1533-position model. The record is from RNAcentral.